Molecule: long non-coding RNA, 587 nt
Filed under: Marmota monax (woodchuck)
Lineage: Eukaryota; Metazoa; Chordata; Mammalia; Rodentia; Sciuridae
Source: RNAcentral
CCAGUGGCAGAGUGCUUGCCUAGCAUGCAUGAGGCACUGGGUUCGAUUCUUAGCGCCUCAUAUAAAUAAAUAAAAUAAAGGUCCAUUGGCAACUAUAAAAAUUAUUUAAAAGAAAAUGGAAAAAACAGGAACUUGAACCCAGGGCUUCUGAUAACUGCUACAGGGCUCUGUCCUUCAUAUCUUUCCGCCUCUUCUGAUUUAGCAGAUUCUAUGAGAAAGAAUGGAGCUACAAGUAGAAUAUGAGUCUGGCUUCAGCAUUACAAAAUAAUUACUAUUAACUAAGCAUUUAUCAGUGUCAGGAAAUGUAUUUAUAUUACUUUAUUUAAUUCUCAGAACAACCCUGUGAAAUACAUAUAUUAUUAGUCCCAUCUCACAGAUGAGGAAACUGAUAUGCAGAGAGUUGUGACUUACCCAAAGCGUAGAGUAGACUUUACUCAAAUAAAAUUCUCAAUUGCUUUAGUACUAGCAUGUUGGCAUUUCUCUAGAUUUAAGAUUCCUUGUCUUAUCAGACACAAUGGUAUACACUUGUCCCAGGGAGGUUGAGGCAGGAGGAUUGCGAGUUUAAGAUCUGUCUCAGCAACUUAGUG